RNAcentral lists this transfer RNA (69 nucleotides) under Ixodes trichosuri. Its description in RNAcentral is "tRNA-Ile". The record is from RNAcentral. Lineage: Eukaryota; Metazoa; Arthropoda; Arachnida; Ixodida; Ixodidae.
AAUAAAAUGCCUGAGAAAAGGGUUAUCUUGAUAGGAUAAAUUAUGUGUAUAUUUAUUACACUUUUAUUA